RNAcentral lists this long non-coding RNA (4904 nucleotides) under Homo sapiens (human). RNAcentral describes it as "long non-coding RNA NONHSAT017156.2". The record is from RNAcentral. Lineage: Eukaryota; Metazoa; Chordata; Mammalia; Primates; Hominidae.
GGGCUGUGACCUCUGCCAUUGCCCCAGCUAAGCAGCGAGAGCUUGCUGAAGCCCAGAGGGCUGUGGGACCAUGAGGGCAGCUCUCUGGACCCUGGGACUCGGGCCCCUUCUUCUGAAUCUCUGGGCAGUCCCCAUUGGUGGACCAGGUGCUCUGAGGCUGGCGUACAGACACAGCACGUGCGACGGAGUGGUGUUGGUCCGACACCACGGGGCAUGGGGAUACGUGUGCAACCAGGAGUGGACGCUGGCAGAGGCCUCUGUCGUGUGCAGGCAGCUGGGCUGCGGCCCUGCCGUGGGCGCCCCCAAGUAUGUCCCGCUGCCUGGAGAGAUGGCCCAGCCCUGGCUUCACAACGUGUCCUGCCGGGGCAACGAGUCCUCCCUCUGGGAGUGCAGCCUUGGCUCAUGGUGCCAGAGCCCGUGCCCCCACGCAUGGGUGGUGGUCGCGCUGUGCUCCAACGGCACUUUCCGGGAGCUCCGGCUGGUGAAGGGCCGCAGUCCCUGCGCGGGACUCCCCGAGAUCAGAAACGUGAAUGGGGUGGACCGCCUCUGUGUCCUGCAUGUGGAGGAGGCCAUGGUGUUCUGCCGGGAGCUGGGGUGCGGCCCUGUGCUCCAGGCCCCCCGCCGGGACGUGGGCGUCGUCAGGAAGUACCUGGCCUGCAGGGGUACCGAGCCCACCAUCCGCAGCUGCAGACUGGACAACAACUUCCGCAGCGGCUGCGACCUGCGGCUGGACGCAGAGGUGGUCUGCUCAGGUGAGGCUGCCACCUGAUGUUCCCAGUGACCCUUGGGAUGAUGCUGGGCCCGGACCUGGGGAGGGCAGGGAGAAGGGGGGUGGGCGUUCCCACGGAUGGGCCCCCCUGUCCUGCAUGAGACAUUGGGCGCAGAGGUGGGAAAGGGCCUCAGCUCUCACGCUGGUUCUCAGCAGAGUGGAGCUGAGUUUCUGGUGGCCCCACAGAGGUGUCCUGGCUCAGAACCCGCAGGCCAUCUAGGGGUCCUGGCUGCCGCUGCAAGUCUGAGCUGCCUCAGCUGUGAUCUCUGCAUGUCUAACAUGGAUCGGGGUUGGGUAGAGGUCACUUCUUCCCAGCCCUGCCUCAACUGUGUGUGAGCUGCACUGGCCUCACAGCUCCUGGCCUUGUUGUGCAUAUGAGGAGCAGCUGAAAUGAGGUGGAUAGUCUGCCUGCUGCGGUACCCCAGAGAGGGUGGUGCUCAGUGGACCAAGGGGUGCCCUGACCUCGCCUCUGGGAUUGCAGAGGGUGUUGCUGUCAUGGCCUCGGACAGGCAGAGGCUGUGAAAUACGUGAGCACCUGCAGCAGGUGACCCUGACCCUGACCUUGGUGAUGCGGCCAAGGACGUCUGCUCUGCUCUGGGUGCCGGGUGGAAGGGCCUGUGGCUGCAAGUUCCUGCCUGUGCUUGGUAGACCCUCUGCCUAGAUGCAGGUGAUGGCUCCUGGCUGAAGCCUUCCGCAGUCUGAGGCUCAGGGCCAGGCUGUUGACCUGAGAACACCUGUCUCCUGCCUGAGAGGACGUCUGCCCCCAGGACACACCGAGGCCCGACUGGUGGGCGGCGAGCACCCCUGCGCCGGGCGCCUGGAGGUGACCUGGGGCACCGUCUGUGAUGCGGCCCUGGACCUGGCCACGGCCCACGUGGUGUGCCGGGAGCUGCAGUGUGGGGCGGUCGUGUCCACGCCCGAGGGCGCCCGCUUCGGCCGGGGCUCGGGGCCGGUGUGGACGGAGGCCUUCCGCUGUGCGGGCAACGAGUCGCUGCUGUUCCACUGCCCACGGGGGCGUGGGAGCCAGUGUGGGCAUGGUCACGACGCGGGGCUCAGGUGCUCAGGUGAAGUCCUGUGUGUGGGCUCUGAAGGCUCAGCCCUGCCUUGUUCUCUGUCAAAUCCCUUCGUGCCCUAAAGGUGCCUCUGGCCAGUAGGUGUGGGUGCUUUUGAUGUUUGCUUCUGUUGGUUGAAAGAAGCGCAGGGAAGAGACUGGGUGUAGAGUGAUGUACCCCAAGGCUGCAGCUAAGAUCAAAUUCUUCUGGAGAGCUGUGUGAGCUGGAUGCUGAUGCAGAGGAGGGUGGGGGAGCUGGUGAGACCAAGGCUGGGCUCUGUGCCCAUCCCACUGGGUGUGAAGGAAGGAAAUGACCACAGACAGCCAUGUUCUGGGUCGGCCGUCUGCAAGCCAGGCUGACUCCUCCUCUCCCCCAGAGUUCAGGAUGGUCAACGGCAGCAGCAGCUGUGAGGGCCGCGUGGAGUUCCAGGUGCAGGGGUCCUGGGCACCCCUCUGUGCCACCCACUGGGACAUAGCAGAUGCCACCGUCCUCUGCCACCAGCUCAACUGUGGCAACGCGGUGGCCGCACCUGGAGGAGGCCAUUUUGGGGACGGGGACGCUGCCAUCUGGCCUGAUGCCUUUCACUGUGAGGGGACAGAGUCCUACUUGUGGAAUUGCCCAGUAAGCACCCUGGGGGCCCCGGCCUGUGCCCCGGGAAACACAGCCUCCGCGGUCUGCUCAGGUCUGGCCCACGCCCUGCGACUGAGGGAAGGACAGAGCCGCUGUGACGGCCGCGUGGAGGUCUCCCUGGAUGGCGUGUGGGGCCGCGUCCUGGACGAUGCCUGGGACCUGCGCGGCGCGGGCGUGGUGUGCCGGCAACUCGGGUGCAGAGGGGCCCAGCAAGCCUAUGACGCACCUGCCCCCAGCCGCGGAUCCGUCCAGGUGGCGCUGAGCCGCGUGCGCUGUCUGGGCACCGAAACCCGCCUGACUCAGUGCAACGUGUCCGCGACCCUGCAGGAGCCCGCGGGGACCUCGCGGGACGCCGGCGUGGUGUGCUCCGGGAGCCUCAGGGUGCGGCUGGCCGCGGGGCCGGGGCGCUGCACGGGGGCGCGUGGGGCACCGUGUGUGACGAUGCCUGGGACCUGCGGGACGCGCACGUGGUCUGCAGGCAGCUGGGCUGUGGCCGCGCCCUGAGCGCCCUGGGGGCCGCACACUUCGGAGCCGGGGCAGGGCGCAUCUGGCUGGACGAGCUGGGCUGCCAGGGCCACGAGUCUGCGCUGUGGCAGUGCCCGUCGGCGGGCUGGGGGCGGCACGACUGGAGGCACAAGGAGGACGCCGGCGUCUUCUGCUCAGAGUCGGUGGCUCUGAGGCUGCGAGGUGGGACCUGCUGCUGUGCUGGGUGGCUGGACGUGUUCUACAAUGGGACCUGGGGCGCCAUGUGCAGCAAUGCCCUGAAGGACCUCUCCUUGUCCAUCAUCUGCAAGCAGCUGGGGUGUGGGGUGUGGGGAGUGGGGCUGGCUGGAGAACAGGCCCUUCCCCUCUGCGGGCACCGGGACCGCCUGGGUGGACAACAUCGAGUGCCGCAGGCUGCCCAACUCCACUCUGUGGCAAUGCCCUUCCCACCCAUGGCACCCGCACUCUUGCGACCUUCGAGAGCAGGUCUGGAUUACCUGUGCAGGUGGGCAUUAGAGGUCUCUGGGGGUGCCUGGGAAGAGGUUUAUCUGUCCUGACAGGUCACUUACAGGGGAUGCCAUUCAAUCAGAGCCUGGGCCUGGGGGUCACUAGGAUCCACAGCCUUCCUUGUGAAGCUUCUCUGGGCACCGAAGCUCUCAGAGCUGCUGUUUAACCCGCAGGAUUGUCAGAGGACAGGCCACAGGCUGCUGGGGAGCCCCUCAACUGCUCCUCCUGGCUCGGCUGCCCAGAGGAGGGCGCACUGCGCGUGCGCGGGGGCGAGGACCGCUGCUCCGGGCGCGUGGAGCUCUGGCACGCGGGCUCCUGGGGCACCGUGUGCGACGAUGGCUGGGACCUGGCGGACGCGGAGGUCGUGUGCCGCCAGCUGGGCUGUGGUCGGGCCGUCGCCGCCCUGGGGGCCGCCGCCUUUGGCCCUGGCUCCGGGCCCGUGUGGCUGGACGAGGUGGGGUGCCGGGGCAGCGAGGCGUCCCUGUGGGGCUGCCCUGCGGAGCGGUGGGGACGCGGAGACCGCGCGCACGAGGAGGACGCGGGCGUGCGCUGCUGGGAGCCUGGCCCAGGCCCCCCACUGCCUGCAGCUCCCUUCCGGACAUUCUGGGUGGUCAGUGUCGUCCUGGGAUCCCUUCUUGGUCUUCUCCUUCUGGGCCUCAUGGCUUUUCUGAUUCUGCCUCGAGUCACACAAGCCAUGCAGAGGGGUCUGGGAAGAUCCGAGGUAUCUCCUGGAGAAGCCAUCUAUGAUGUCAUUGGGGAAAUGCCGCCAGCAGGACUGUACGAGGAAAUCAUGGAGGCCGAGGCUGUGCUCCAAGAUGAGGAGGACGGAAGUGUGGUGAAGGUGGACACAGAAGCCGCAGUUUCAGGGGAGGUGUCUAACCUCCUGGAGGGACAGUCUAUACGUGCGGAGGGAGGACACAGCAGACCUGUUUCUCAGGGAUAUGACGAGGCUGCGUUUCCUCUGGAGGAGAUGACGUUGUAAAGCAACCUGAGGAUGAGAUACACCAGCUGGCUGUCGAAAUCACAGCUCUUCAUUUUCUUGUACAAUUGUAGUGGAUUUCGUGAGAACACCUUGGAUGCCUUUCUCUUGCAAUGUCCUCCAUGUCCAUGUAAAAUCCAGUCCUUCCAGGCCCUGCCUGGCUCUAAACCUCAUCCCCUUCGAGGGCCAUCUGCUGUGGACAGUUGUGCUGUGUAACCUUCAGAUUUCCCACACAUUACAGCAAAUGCAAAUACACAUAGAAAUCAGUGGUUCCAUUUGUGGUUUAGAGACACAUGGUGCCAUCUUCAUCUUCCGCUCCACAGCUCGCUUCUGGCACCCAGCAGUGGGUUGCAGAGCUCCCCAUGCCAGAACCUUCCUCUUUUUUCUUAAAAACUCUUCUUAAUUGAAUCCAAAGUAUCUUUUAAAUGUUCUACUUGUGUAAUCAUGUCAUCUGUGAAUAUUCAGAUUUAUCUUCUCCUUCCAA